Long non-coding RNA from Tachysurus vachellii, 348 nucleotides. RefSeq lists it as uncharacterized. The transcript is spliced from 4 exons. NCBI's taxonomy places the organism in Eukaryota, Metazoa, Chordata, Actinopteri, Siluriformes, Bagridae. The record is from RefSeq and is a predicted model, not a curated record.
UGAACAUCUACCGAUAUCAAAGGGAAGUAAGCAUGAUGUGUCUCAUCUGCUGCAUUAAGUUUCCAUGGCUGACCACUGUGUCUACGAAGCUGAUUCUACAAAGUCCCUGAUUUUGUGCAAGUGUACAAAGUGUGCAAGACGUUGGUUUGAAGACAAAGUUUUACAGAAAAUGGAGCCAGUGAGAAAUUAUACAUAGGAGCUUGAGAUCUCUUCUGUACUCAACCCCUCCAGAUACCACAGCUUCUGUUCGGAGCAUGCCUGGCAGUCAGAUCAAUGUGGAUGAGGGCUCAUCAGUUGAAGCUCAAUUCUAGCAAAACUGAACUGCUGAUCUUCCCAGGUGAUUCAUCC